This 511-nucleotide ribosomal RNA is filed under the name Salmonella enterica subsp. enterica serovar Indiana. RNAcentral's name for it is "partial 23S ribosomal RNA". It matches the Rfam family "Bacterial large subunit ribosomal RNA", at positions 1223 to 1733 of the family's 2925-position model. Lineage: Bacteria; Pseudomonadati; Pseudomonadota; Gammaproteobacteria; Enterobacterales; Enterobacteriaceae. The record is from RNAcentral.
GUUGGGUAGGGGAGCGUUCUGUAAGCCUGCGAAGGUGGCCUGUGAGGGUUGCUGGAGGUAUCAGAAGUGCGAAUGCUGACAUAAGUAACGAUAAAGCGGGUGAAAAGCCCGCUCGCCGGAAGACCAAGGGUUCCUGUCCAACGUUAAUCGGGGCAGGGUGAGUCGACCCCUAAGGCGAGGCCGAAAGGCGUAGUCGAUGGGAAACGGGUUAAUAUUCCCGUACUUGGUGUUACUGCGAAGGGGGGACGGAGAAGGCUAUGUUGGCCGGGCGACGGUUGUCCCGGUUUAAGCGUGUAGGUGUGUGUUCCAGGUAAAUCCGGUUCACUUUAACACUGAGGCGUGACGACGAGGCACUACGGUGCUGAAGCAACAAAUGCCCUGCUUCCAGGAAAAGCCUCUAAGCAUCAGGUAACAUCAAAUCGUACCCCAAACCGACACAGGUGGUCAGGUAGAGAAUACCAAGGCGCUUGAGAGAACUCGGGUGAAGGAACUAGGCAAAAUGGUGCCGUAA